UAGACCAAUAACAGGAUCUGAAGUUGUGG
RNAcentral lists this non-coding RNA (29 nucleotides) under Homo sapiens (human). Lineage: Eukaryota; Metazoa; Chordata; Mammalia; Primates; Hominidae. The record is from RNAcentral.